CGAGUAUCGGUGUUCACGCAAGUAUGAUGCCAGAGUUCGCUA
This 42-nucleotide non-coding RNA is filed under the name Karlodinium veneficum. Lineage: Eukaryota; Dinophyceae; Gymnodiniales; Kareniaceae. The record is from RNAcentral.